AGAAUCAACGCUGGCGGCGUGCCUAACACAUGCAAGUCGAACGAGAAAGUGGAGCAAUCCAUGAGUAAAGUGGCGCACGGGUGAGUAACACGUGACUAACCUACCCUUGAGUGGGGAAUAACUUCGGGAACCGAGGCUAAUACCGCAUAACACCUACGGGUCAAAGGAGCAAUUCGCUUAAAGAGGGGGUCGCGGCAGAUUAGUUAGUUGGCAGGGUAAUGGCCUACCAAGACGGUGAUCUGUAUCCGGCCUGAGAGGGCGCACGGACACACUGGAACUGAAACACGGUCCAGACUCCUACGGGAGGCAGCAGUGGGGAAUUUUGCGCAAUGGGGGAAACCCUGACGCAGCAACGCCGCGUGGAGGAUGAAGUCCCUUGGGACGUAAACUCCUUUCGAUCGGGACGAUUAUGACGGUACCGGAAGAAGAAGCCCGGCUAACUUCGCGCCAGCAGCCGC
RNAcentral lists this ribosomal RNA (458 nucleotides) under uncultured bacterium. RNAcentral describes it as "SSU rRNA". It matches the Rfam family "Bacterial small subunit ribosomal RNA", at positions 26 to 518 of the family's 1533-position model. The record is from RNAcentral.